GAGACCUCAGGUCAGGCG
This 18-nucleotide ribosomal RNA is filed under the name Gliricidia sepium. Its description in RNAcentral is "partial large subunit ribosomal RNA". Lineage: Eukaryota; Viridiplantae; Streptophyta; Magnoliopsida; Fabales; Fabaceae. The record is from RNAcentral.